This 70-nucleotide transfer RNA is filed under the name Cordylochernes scorpioides. RNAcentral's name for it is "tRNA-Gly". Lineage: Eukaryota; Metazoa; Arthropoda; Arachnida; Pseudoscorpiones; Chernetidae. The record is from RNAcentral.
UGCAUCGAGGGGAAUCGAACCCGGGCCGCUCGCGUGGCAGGCGAGCAUUCUACCACUGAACCACCGAUGG